This is a long non-coding RNA of Lycium ferocissimum, 748 nucleotides long. RefSeq lists it as uncharacterized. The transcript has 3 exons. NCBI's taxonomy places the organism in Eukaryota, Viridiplantae, Streptophyta, Magnoliopsida, Solanales, Solanaceae. The record is from RefSeq and is a predicted model, not a curated record.
UAAAAAAAAUGAUCAUUUGCCAAUUAUAGCUAUCCUAGAGAUCACAACCGGCGAAAAAUUCACCUCUUUCUCCCCUUCUUAUAUUUUUGUUAAACUUUCAUCUCUAACACAAGUAAAGUAUGUGAGAAAAGUAACUUUCUAUUUACACUAUAGAUUUUCAAGAAGUCAGAAUUUCUAGACAAGUCUUGAGGAGGUGCACAUCCAAUUAAAAAAUUGGAUGCUGCAUCCUGCUUUCCAUUUGCCUCUUGUCCAUCCAACUGAAAUUGUAUAAAUAGGGGGUAGCAUUUGCAAAGUAGAAAUCAAGUCCUUGCACAUUACAUCCAAUCAAUUGUUUGUAACUUGGACAUAUAUCCUUUAUCUUAUAUUGGCCUUUGUUUUUCAUCUUUCAAGAUGCAAAAGCAAGAUAACCAACCUCCUCUAGGCUAUCCUACUGAAGUUACUCCAAAUGAGGCCAAGAAGAAGAUGAAGGGCUGGCCAAGGAGUAAGCCAAGAGGAGAAAGGGGUUUCCUUGAAGGAUGCCUCUUUGCACUAUGCUGCUGCUGGCUAUGUGAAGCUUGCUUUGACUAAAUAUUUGGGAUAUGACUCAUCGAAAGGCAUAAACUGGUGUUUGUCUAUUCAACUAGUGAUGCAAUAUGUACUCCUAUGUGAUCCUUCACUUUAUCAUGUAACCAAAUAUGUUCUUAACAUCUGAGACUUUGUAUGAUGAUAUAAUAUUUUUUGUUGUUCAAUGAAGAAUAUGGUUAUCUUA